AUUUUUCACAAAAGAACACCAUCGUCUGGGGAAGAGAGAAAAGUUUUGGCUCACCUGAAAGAAGAAAAGUCACAUUAACGCCGAUACAAGAAUGAGGUCUCCCACCAGAAUGAUCAGUUUUCUUGUCAAGGACUCCACAGUGACUUACCGAAUUUAACAACAGUCAACAGAUCCUCCUGGAAAAAAGAAAGAGAGAAGAGGCUGAGGUGCCCCUCGCAUGCAAUGAAAAGGCACCGACCUCUGAACCAGGAAGGGGGCUCUCACCAAGACGCUUUCGGGACUUCCUGGCCUCCAGAACGCUCAGAUGGACAGCACUGAAAAAUCACAAAUCUGAGAAACCCAGGACGAUCCCAUGGGCAUGGAGAUUGCUGCAUGGGCCAGAACCCAAGGCCCAAGGGCACAGAGUUCGCCUUCUCUAGACCUUGCCAAACGCUGGCCGUCCUUCCUGGUGGCAAGUUCAGAGGAUCACGGCACACCCCCCACAGAGCAGGUGGAUCUGGCCUUCACACAUGAUGAGCUUUCUCCACGUCCUCAGCUGGGAAUGCACAGGACCCCAUGUUUCGAUGGUUUAACCUAUGAAAUGUAUGAGGAAGCCCGCCCAGGCAGACGCGGUGAGGCGGCUGUGUUCUGUCCCCAGGUGGGUUCCAGCUUCUGCUAAGUAACAGAUAACAGGUGUCACUCUGCUUCUUUUUACCCUUCCCCCCAGGCUCCCUCAGGGCCUGGCCAAUGGCUGAGAUGGGGCAACGAAGACAAACGGGUGUCGGCGAGGUGCCGGGGAGCUUACCAGACAGACAGCUAUCCAGGCAGCUCUCCCGGCGGGUGUUCCCGCACCACUCUUCAGGGGUCACCCUGCCCUCGCGGUGGUGUGGCAGAAGCAUAGCCAGGUUCUAGAAUGGAGAAAGGAGCCUGAAGCAUGGGUAGGCCAGAGGAAGAGGGCGACGGACACCUCAAAGGGCAUCAUAUUCCCUGAGCAUCUCAUGCUAUGGGCUGAAUUGUGUUCCUCAGAAUCCUUAUGUUGAAACCCUAGUCCCCAAGGUAAUUUGGAGACAGGGCCUAUAAGGAGACAGUUAAUGUUACCCGAGGUCCUAAGGGUGGAACCCUGAUCUAUUAGGAUCAGCGUCCUUAGGAGGAAAGACACCAAAGAGCUUGAUUCCUCUCUCUCUCUCUGCUCUGUGAGGGCACAACAAGAAGGUGGCCCCAUCUGCAAGGUAGGAAGAGAGAUCCUACCAGGAACCGAAAUGGCCCCAACCCUUCGGUCUUGGACUUCUAGCCGCCAGAACUGUGAGAAUUCCCAGUCUGUGGCAUUUUGUUAGAGCAGCUGGAUUAGACUCAUGCAACCACCGAGAUGGCAAUUGCUGACGGAUGAGGCUGACCUUCAGUUUCCCCCCUGCUUCCAGCAAUGAAAUUUCAUCCUAGUCUCAGCAACCAUUGUGCCACAAUAUCACUUUGUGAAAAUGAUGGCAAAGGUGCCACUUGUGGAGAAUCUGCACAGGGGAGGGAUUUCUCUGCCUCAUGCCCCCACCAGGCCAUGCCUCUGGUGAGGCCUGGAAAGCCAGGUCAGGCCCCAGCAGUUUCAUGGAAGCCAGCCCCAAGCCUGGUUGCCCCGCUUCGGGGGCACCUAGAACCUUCCAACCAUGACUGUAACAUCCCAGAGAAUGGACUCGAGCCCUGCCUCAUCCCACCCCACCCCACUGUCCAGGACAGCACUCGUGCCAGCACGAGGGCCCCCCGGGAGCGUUCCUCCCACAGCCAGAGUCACGGGCCACCCACUUUGCAUCCCUCCCUGCAACAAUCCUGAAAGAUAAUGUAGCUCCCAAGGACCCCAAACUUUCCAUGUUCCCCACGUCUUAGGGAGCUCGGUGUAUGAAAAGGCUGGCUCUACACGCUGGGUGUGAUUUAUAAGAAGACUCAGCAGAAUUCCUUUCACUAGGCCCUUCCUUCUUUUCUAUCAAAAAUACAAGGCUUUAAAAAACUUGUGUUUUUCCUUGAAUUCCUCAAUCAAAUGUAUGCUCUGUGAGAUAAAGGAAUAGGAAGAUUUGAAGCAGGUAUUGGAGUUGAUCCCACGAGAACAAGCCAGCCUUGGGCCUCGGGAACGGCUGGCUAGAGCCCACGGUAGCCACUGAGAGGGAAAGAGGGAGAGGAGAGAACGGCCGAGGGUGUCACGCACAAGGAAGCCUGGCGCUCGCAGUUGGACAGUGCUAGCGCUCCGACCCCUCGGUCACCCUCUGAUGUCAUCUGAGCCCAUCAUGUAUCCAGUUCUGGCGGCAACCAUGAGCAUUUCUGACCACAGGCAGUGUGUGCCAGGAGGCUUUGUCCCAUCUGUCCACGCCUGCCCUCUGCCUCUGCUUUUGGCCACCAAGAUCGAAAACACGCCCCCGAGCCCUACAGCCCAGGGGCACCAAGCGACCCACACAGAUGCAUUCCGCUCAAGCUGCCAUCACAGAAAUGCACUUGUGGUGAUCCUUCCUCUGCCUCCAUGAGAGUGUUGAGUGACCUGGUUCUGGGAGCCCCUUAUUUUCUCCUUGGAUCCCAGACACAAAUAAGAAUAAAGCUUGCUUACAUGCCAAGGACGUUUCUGAGCUCUGGUGCCCGCAGAAUUUCCUAGGACUGAGAACGCAAGUCUGUCAUUAUGGUAUUUGCAGAACCAGAGACUGUAUUUAAGUCUUCAAGAGGAUGCUUAUUAUAACCCCUUUCUUGGGACUCUCAUGCCAAAACACUACAUGAAUAGUCUUUUUCAAGGAAAUUUGCCAGGGAAGGCAGCAAGCAUCUGAUCACAUAGGAAUAGUUUUGGGUCGAUUUCAAGCUGUAGAGUCUAGGGGAGAAGGAAGUUUUCCUGACGGCUGCCCUGGGGAAGGAGAAUCCACACGAGGCUGUGUAUUGCACAGGCUGCCAUUGAGGGACUGCCAUCUUCAGAAAUUAUGACAGGAACAGUGGGCCUUGGAGUUGAGCAUGGUUGACAACCUUUCCUGCCACGCGAAGUGGGUAUCCACGGAAGACACUGAAUCCUGAUUGAAAGAUUAAUGAUGGGGAAAACCGGUGCCUCAGGGGAUAGAUGAGGGUUCUGAGCUCUUCUGGGGGAGAAAGCAGACACUCAAGCCGGACACAUUGAA
This is a long non-coding RNA of Panthera uncia (snow leopard), 3110 nucleotides long. RefSeq lists it as uncharacterized. The record is from RefSeq and is a predicted model, not a curated record. The transcript has 5 exons. Lineage: Eukaryota; Metazoa; Chordata; Mammalia; Carnivora; Felidae.